CGCUAUAAAUAGCCUUUUGUACGUAGUUAAUGAUCCACCAAAUGGUCAAACAGUUAUAAACACUUAUGCAGCGUUCAUUUUAUCCUCAUUUAAGCACAAUAUGAGGUUUUUCUGGCUGUUCCUUGCAACUUUUUGUUUAGCAAAAGCUUCCCUUUUCUCGCAAUAUGUUAAACUGUACGAAGAUAAAAAACCGCCAAAUAUUUUUUUAGAGUUUAUUGGAAAAGGAGGUGAGGCCCUCAUUGAGGUCAAAACGCCAGGAUUUAGACCACUUUUCCAUAGAAUUGUGAAAAAGUAUGAAGCCGACACAAAACGAAUCAGCUUCGUUUCGACGUUCAACUCGGACAAUGGCAUUGAAUAAAACUUUUUUCGUUGAAUAAUUUUUUGGUGUUCAGUCAAGGCUAUCCUUUGAUAUAAUUAAUAAUUAUUUAAUAAACUGACUUGUUAA
This is a long non-coding RNA of Tribolium castaneum (red flour beetle), 445 nucleotides long. RefSeq lists it as uncharacterized. The transcript has 2 exons. Lineage: Eukaryota; Metazoa; Arthropoda; Insecta; Coleoptera; Tenebrionidae. The record is from RefSeq and is a predicted model, not a curated record.